GACGAACUGUCCAAACGUUGUUCGGAAUCACUGGGCUUAAAGGGCGCGUAGGCGGUCCGGUAAGUCAGGGGUGAAAUCCCACAGCUUAACUGUGGAAGUGCCUUUGAUACUGCCGGUCUGGAGGGAGAUAGGGGUGUGCGGAACUUCCAGUGGAGCGGUGAAAUGCGUUGAUAUUGGAAGGAACGCCGGAGGCGAAAGCGGCGCACUGGAUCUCUUCUGACGCUGAGGCGCGAAAGCUAGGGGAGCAAACGGG
RNAcentral lists this ribosomal RNA (253 nucleotides) under Gemmataceae bacterium. Its description in RNAcentral is "partial 16S ribosomal RNA". It matches the Rfam family "Bacterial small subunit ribosomal RNA", at positions 524 to 776 of the family's 1533-position model. The record is from RNAcentral. RNAcentral also lists the same sequence under 1 other name. Lineage: Bacteria; Pseudomonadati; Planctomycetota; Planctomycetia; Gemmatales; Gemmataceae.